RNAcentral lists this ribosomal RNA (556 nucleotides) under Placopsis fusciduloides. RNAcentral describes it as "SSU rRNA". It matches the Rfam family "Bacterial small subunit ribosomal RNA", at positions 464 to 1082 of the family's 1533-position model. The record is from RNAcentral. Lineage: Eukaryota; Fungi; Ascomycota; Lecanoromycetes; Trapeliales; Trapeliaceae.
UGAUAAUGACAUUUUCUAUCUAUGUGUCUUGACCAAAUCACGUGCCAGCAGUCGCGGUAAUACGUGGAAGACUAGUGUUAUUCAUCUUUAUUUGGUUUAWAGGGWACCUAGACUGCUAAUCAAGCCCCUAAAGGGUACUAAUWGGCUARAGUUUUAUGUGAAAAGGGGUGUACUAAAGUGUGGAGAGAUGAAAUUCUGUGAUACCUUACUGGAACAGUCAACGGCGAAGGCRACCUUUUAUGUAAAAACUGACGUUKAAGGACGAASGCUUAGGACACCAAUAGGAUUAGAUACCCUAGCAGUCUAAGCAGACAAUGAUGAAUGUCAUAGGCAAGAAUUACAAUUUUGUCUAUAAAUGAAAGUGUAAGCAUUCCACCUCWWGAGUAACGCGGCAACGCCNGANCUGAAAUCAUUAGACCGUUUCUGAAACCAGUAGUGGAGUAUGUUGUUUAAUUUGAUCGUACGCAAAAAACCUUACCACAGUCUGAAUAGAUAUCUAAAUAUCAUACAAGCGCUGCACGGCUGUCUUCAGUUAAUGUCGUGAGAUUUUGGUUAG